RNAcentral lists this unclassified non-coding RNA (234 nucleotides) under Hevea brasiliensis (rubber tree). Lineage: Eukaryota; Viridiplantae; Streptophyta; Magnoliopsida; Malpighiales; Euphorbiaceae. The record is from RNAcentral.
GUGCUUUGUGAUCUACACCAAGUAUUUGAUAUACUUGUUUGUUAAAAUACAAUAAUAAUGAGUGCAGUAGUUUCUAUACAUCCCCAUAUAAUCAAUUCCAUUAUAAUGUAUUUGAAAGGACAGUCCAUGUCGCUUAACAAAAUCUUUGGUAGAUUAAGUAGCUCUGCUUGUAAAUUUACAGCCAUUGGAGUAAAAAAUGCGAAUCUCAAAUACUUGGUGUAGAUCACAAAGCAC